RNAcentral lists this ribosomal RNA (484 nucleotides) under uncultured bacterium. Its description in RNAcentral is "bacterial SSU rRNA". It matches the Rfam family "Bacterial small subunit ribosomal RNA", at positions 28 to 526 of the family's 1533-position model. The record is from RNAcentral.
GACGAACGCUGGCGGCGUGCUUAACACAUGCAAGUCGAACGGUGAACUCCGCUUGCGGGGGGAUCAGUGGCGAACGGGUGAGUAACACGUGGGCAACCUGCCCUCAGCUCUGGGAUAACUCCAAGAAAUUGGGGCUAAUACCGGAUAUUUCCGCUGACCGCAUGGUCUGGUGGUGGAAAGAUUUAUCGGCUGGGGAUGGGCCCGCGGCCUAUCAGCUUGUUGGUGGGGUAGUGGCCUACCAAGGCGACGACGGGUAGCCGGCCUGAGAGGGUGACCGGCCACACUGGGACUGAGACACGGCCCAGACUCCUACGGGAGGCAGCAGUGGGGAAUAUUGCGCAAUGGGCGAAAGCCUGACGCAGCGACGCCGCGUGGGGGAUGACGGCCUUCGGGUUGUAAACCUCUUUCAGCAGGGACGAAGCGCAAGUGACGGUACCUGCAGAAGAAGCACCGGCCAACUACGUGCCAGCCGCCGCCGUAAAAC